Malus domestica (apple) is the source of this 349-nucleotide long non-coding RNA. RefSeq lists it as uncharacterized. The record is from RefSeq and is a predicted model, not a curated record. NCBI's taxonomy places the organism in Eukaryota, Viridiplantae, Streptophyta, Magnoliopsida, Rosales, Rosaceae.
CUCUCUCUCACCCCGUCUCGCUCUUCUCUCCCACUCCGUUAGACGAAUUACAAAGACGAAGGAAGACAGCAGCCACUACCCACCCAUCUGCUUCUCCUCCGCUCCACCCUCCGUCGGCGUUUUGGGCGUUUUACCUGAUAGGGAUGUGCACCACCAGUAGAGCCGCGACUUGUGGUACGCAUUCAACCGAGAGUCACACACUGACACAAGUACACUAUUUGCCUGUAAUCUUCGUCUCCGCACAACACACAUACGUGGGUCGUAACACCAAGUGGGUUAGGUUCUGGUGGGAAAAAUUACCCUUAUGGGGUUUUUCCCAGAAGGGUUUAGUGAGCUAUGGCGGUAGGAG